RNAcentral lists this ribosomal RNA (661 nucleotides) under uncultured bacterium. RNAcentral's name for it is "partial 16S ribosomal RNA". It matches the Rfam family "Bacterial small subunit ribosomal RNA", at positions 833 to 1494 of the family's 1533-position model. The record is from RNAcentral.
UGAGGCGUGGCUUCCGGAGCUAACGCGUUAAAUCGACCGCCUGGGGANNNCGGCCGCAAGGUUAAAACUCAAAUGAAUUGACGGGGGCCCGCACAAGCGGUGGAGCNNNUGGUUUAAUUCGAUGCAACGCGAAGAACCUUACCUGGUCUUGACAUCCACAGAACUUGCCAGAGAUGGCUUGGUGCCUUCGGGAACUGUGAGACAGGUGCUGCAUGGCUGUCGUCAGCUCGUGUUGUGAAAUGUUGGGUUAAGUCCCGCAACGAGCGCAACCCUUAUCCUUUGUUGCCAGCGGUUCGGCCGGGAACUCAAAGGAGACUGCCAGUGAUAAACUGGAGGAAGGUGGGGAUGACGUCAAGUCAUCAUGGCCCUUACGACCAGGGCUACACACGUGCUACAAUGGCAUAUACAAAGAGAAGCGACCUCGCGAGAGCAAGCGGACCUCAUAAAGUAUGUCGUAGUCCGGAUUGGAGUCUGCAACUCGACUCCAUGAAGUCGGAAUCGCUAGUAAUCGUAGAUCAGAAUGCNNNNGUGAAUACGUNNNNNNNCCUUGUACACANNNCCCGUCACACCAUGGGAGUGGGUUGCAAAAGAAGUAGGUAGCUUAACCUUCGGGAGGGCNNNNACCACUUUGUGAUUCAUGACUGGGGUGAAGUCGUAACAA